UUCCCACCAAUUUGUUUUCUCUGUUUCCAUUCUUUCUUCUUCAUUUUGGUGUCUUCUUCAAUUCCACUUUUUCCUUUUGCUUUCGGUUGAGUUUUAGAGCUGCUGAGGGCUUCCAUCUUCAUUAUAUUUUUUGCGAUUUUAUUUCGGGUUCUUUUUCUUUGAAUGGUCUGAUUUUUUGUGGUUUUAUUUUUGGAACAUGUUACAGUAACAACGGCGGCUUUGGCAAAGAAUUUGUGGGAGAAGUUAAGAAGAAAAUAGAGGCUCUUCAAACUAUUGGAGAUUCUCUGUAACUUCAAUUCAAGCAAGUUGACGUUGUCCAAUAGAUCAAAGAUUUCUAUAAGAUCUCCAGAAUCAAGUGACAAGGAGAUUCAUGCAUGCGAAACAAAUCCAAAAAGAAACACAAACAAGAUACAUAGAGAGUAUGGUUCAGGGUCGUGCUACUCUUAGAAAGCAAUGAGUAAUCCCUUUGCAGGGUGCUCACCAAGUGUUUGAGAAUAUCACGCAGCGAAAGAUCCCCGAAACCCAAAUUCACGCAAUGUGCCUUGCAUGCCCAUCAAGCCUAAUUUGAAGUGGCCGAAAGAGGCAUGGAUUCUGGGUCAAGAUGUUUCUGUCGGGUUCACUCCAACCACGUAUACUAUUCUUUUCCCUCACUUCUGGUUCCCGCUGUGUGCUCUGCUUCACACUACUGCCUCUCAUCCACUCCCUAUCGCUG
Molecule: long non-coding RNA, 712 nt
Organism: Glycine soja
Lineage: Eukaryota; Viridiplantae; Streptophyta; Magnoliopsida; Fabales; Fabaceae
Exons: 5
Source: RefSeq, a predicted model, not a curated record